GAUGAACGCUGGCGGCGUGCCUAAUACAUGCAAGUCGAGCGAACAGACGAGGAGCUUGCUCCUCUGACGUUAGCGGCGGACGGGUGAGUAACACGUGGAUAACCUACCUAUAAGACUGGGAUAACUUCGGGAAACCGGAGCUAAUACCGGAUAAUAUAUUGAACCGCAUGGUUCAAUAGUGAAAGACGGUUUUGCUGUCACUUAUAGAUGGAUCCGCGCCGCAUUAGCUAGUUGGUAAGGUAACGGCUUACCAAGGCAACGAUGCGUAGCCGACCUGAGAGGGUGAUCGGCCACACGGGAACUGAGACACGGACCAGACUCCUACGAGAGGCAGCAGUAGGGAAUCUUCCGCAAUGGGCGAAAGCCUGACGGAGCAACGCCGCGUGAGUGAUGAAGGUCUUCGGAUCGUAAAACUCUGUUAUUAGGGAAGAACAAAUGUGUAAGUAACUAUGCACGUCUUGACGGUACCUAAUCAGAAAGCCACGGCUAACUACGUG
Molecule: ribosomal RNA, 497 nt
Filed under: uncultured bacterium
Lineage: Bacteria
Description: partial 16S ribosomal RNA
Rfam family: Bacterial small subunit ribosomal RNA
Source: RNAcentral